RNAcentral lists this ribosomal RNA (1002 nucleotides) under uncultured bacterium. RNAcentral's name for it is "bacterial SSU rRNA". It matches the Rfam family "Bacterial small subunit ribosomal RNA", at positions 43 to 1052 of the family's 1533-position model. The record is from RNAcentral.
GGUGCUUACCAUGCAAGUCGAACGGAGUACCCCUGAAGGAGUUUUCGGACAACUGAUGGGACUACUUAGUGGCGGACGGGUGAGUAACGCGUGAGUAACCUGCCUUGGAGUGGGGAAUAACAGCUGGAAACAGCUGCUAAUACCGCAUAAUAUGUCUGUGUCGCAUGGCACUGGACAUCAAAGAUUUAUCGCUCUGAGAUGGACUCGCGUCUGAUUAGCUAGUUGGCGGGGUAACGGCCCACCAAGGCGACGAUCAGUAGCCGGACUGAGAGGUUGGCCGGCCACAUUGGGACUGAGACACGGCCCAGACUCCUACGGGAGGCAGCAGUGGGGAAUAUUGGGCAAUGGGCGCAAGCCUGACCCAGCAACGCCGCGUGAAGGAAGAAGGCUUUCGGGUUGUAAACUUCUUUUCUCAGGGACGAAGCAAGUGACGGUACCUGAGGAAUAAGCCACGGCUAACUACGUGCCAGCAGCCGCGGUAAUACGUAGGUGGCAAGCGUUAUCCGGAUUUACUGGGUGUAAAGGGCGUGUAGGCGGGACUGCAAGUCAGAUGUGAAAACCACGGGCUCAACCUGUGGCCUGCAUUUGAAACUGUAGUUCUUGAGUACUGGAGAGGCAGACGGAAUUCCUAGUGUAGCGGUGAAAUGCGUAGAUAUUAGGAGGAACACCAGUGGCGAAGGCGGUCUGCUGGACAGCAACUGACGCUGAGGCGCGAAAGCGUGGGGAGCAAACAGGAUUAGAUACCCUGGUAGUCCACGCUGUAAACGAUGGAUACUAGGUGUGGGGGGACUGACCCCCUCCGUGCCGCAGUUAACACAAUAAGUAUCCCACCUGGGGAGUACGAUCGCAAGGUUGAAACUCAAAGGAAUUGACGGGGGUUUCGUCACAAGCGUGAGUAUGUGGUUUAAUUCGAAGCACGCGAGAUCUUUACCAGGCUGACAAUCCCGAGACGACUAGAGAUAGUCUUUUCUCUUCGAGACUUCGAGAAAGUGUGCAUGUUGU